This 460-nucleotide ribosomal RNA is filed under the name uncultured bacterium. RNAcentral describes it as "partial 16S ribosomal RNA". It matches the Rfam family "Bacterial small subunit ribosomal RNA", at positions 338 to 795 of the family's 1533-position model. The record is from RNAcentral.
GCUACGGGCGGCAGCAGUGAGGAAUAUUGGUCAAUGGACGAGAGUCUGAACCAGCCAAGUAGCGUGAAGGAUGACUGCCCUAUGGGUUGUAAACUUCUUUUAUAUGGGAAUAAAAUGUUCCACGUGUGGGAUUUUGGAUGUACCAUAUGAAUAAGGAUCGGCUAACUCCGUGCCAGCAGCCGCGGUAAUACGGAGGAUCCGAGCGUUAUCCGGAUUUCUUGGGUUUAAAGGGAGCGUAGGUGGAUUGUUAAGUCAGUUGUGACAGUUUGCGGCUCAACCGUAAAAUUGCAGUUGAAACUGGCAGUCUUGAGUACAGUAGAGGUGGGCGGAAUUCGUGGUGUAGCGGUGUAAUGCUUAGAUAUCACGAAGAACUCCGAUUGCGAAGGCAGCUCACUGGACUGCAACUGACACUGAGGCUCGAAAGUGUGGGUAUCAAACAGGAUUAGAUACCCUAGUAGUC